This 308-nucleotide ribosomal RNA is filed under the name uncultured Pseudomonadota bacterium. Its description in RNAcentral is "bacterial SSU rRNA". It matches the Rfam family "Bacterial small subunit ribosomal RNA", at positions 28 to 351 of the family's 1533-position model. The record is from RNAcentral. Lineage: Bacteria; Pseudomonadati; Pseudomonadota.
GACAAACGCUGGCGGAAUGUAUUAGGCAUGCAAGUCGCACGAACCUUCGGGUUAGUGGCGGACGGGUGAGUAACACGUGGGUAACCUGCCUCGUAGUGGGGAAUAACUCGCCGAAAGGCGAGCUAAUACCGCAUAACACCCUCGGUGAGAAUCCGAGUGGUAAAAGCUCCGGCGCUAUGAGAGGGGCCCGCGGCCGAUUAGCUUGUUGGUGGGGUAAUGGCCUACCAAGGCGACGAUCGGUAGCUGGUCUGAGAGGAUGGUCAGCCACACGGGGACUGAGAUACGGCCCCGACUCCUACGGGAGGCAG